UACGUAGGGUGCGAGCGUUAAUCGGAAUUACUGGGCGUAAAGCGUGCGUAGGCGGUUUGCCGUGUCCUGUGUGGAAGCCCCGGGCUCAACCCGGGAACUGCGUCCGAGACUGAAAGGCUUGAAUCCGGGAGAGGGAUGUGGAAUUCCAGGUGUAGCGGUGAAAUGCGUAGAUAUCUGGAGGAACAUCGGUGGCGAAGGCGGCAUCCUGGACCGGUAUUGACGCUGAGGUGCGAAAGCCAGGGGAGCAAACGGG
This 253-nucleotide ribosomal RNA is filed under the name uncultured bacterium. RNAcentral's name for it is "partial 16S ribosomal RNA". It matches the Rfam family "Bacterial small subunit ribosomal RNA", at positions 524 to 776 of the family's 1533-position model. The record is from RNAcentral.